RNAcentral lists this ribosomal RNA (468 nucleotides) under uncultured bacterium. RNAcentral's name for it is "partial 16S ribosomal RNA". It matches the Rfam family "Bacterial small subunit ribosomal RNA", at positions 27 to 506 of the family's 1533-position model. The record is from RNAcentral.
GGACGAACGCUGGCGGCGUGCUUAACACAUGCAAGUCGAACGGAAAGGCCCUGCUUUUGUGGGGUGCUCGAGUGGCGAACGGGUGAGUAACACGUGAGUAACCUGCCCUUGACUUUGGGAUAACUUCAGGAAACUGGGGCUAAUACCGGAUAGGAGCUCCUGCUGCAUGGUGGGGGUUGGAAAGUUUCGGCGGUUGGGGAUGGACUCGCGGCUUAUCAGCUUGUUGGUGGGGUAGUGGCUUACCAAGGCUUUGACGGGUAGCCGGCCUGAGAGGGUGACCGGCCACAUUGGGACUGAGAUACGGCCCAGACUCCUACGGGAGGCAGCAGUGGGGAAUAUUGCACAAUGGGCGGAAGCCUGAUGCAGCAACGCCGCGUGCGGGAUGACGGCCUUCGGGUGGUAAACCGCUUUCGCCUGUGACGAAGCGUGAGUGACGGUAAUGGGUAAAGAAGCACCGGCUAACUACGU